Nylanderia fulva is the source of this 273-nucleotide long non-coding RNA. RefSeq lists it as uncharacterized. Lineage: Eukaryota; Metazoa; Arthropoda; Insecta; Hymenoptera; Formicidae. The record is from RefSeq and is a predicted model, not a curated record.
AUUAGUACAGCGCUUUCAUUUAUAUUUGAGGAACGUAGAUGAAACACGUACAAUUGAUAUUUUAUAUUCAUGUGGAAUAUUAACAUUUCAUCAGUGGCAUCUACGAAAUGAAUGGUUAAAAGAAAAGAAAACAUAUAAAAGGCCAGAGAAUGUAAAGUUUGCUGUUGGAAUGAUAGUUAAACAUGGUAAAGAGGUGUGUGUGAUCGUCGGAUGGGACAGAUAUGAUAUUGAUCGAAGUGAUACAAUCUCUUUAGACGUUACACAGAACUUAAA